RNAcentral lists this ribosomal RNA (100 nucleotides) under Mus spicilegus (steppe mouse). Lineage: Eukaryota; Metazoa; Chordata; Mammalia; Rodentia; Muridae. The record is from RNAcentral.
GCCUGUUGCUACACCACCCUGACCUUGCGGGAUCUCAUCUGAUCUUGUAAGCUAAGCAGGGUCAGUCCCAGUUAGUACUUGGAUCACCUGGGAACAGGUG